Molecule: ribosomal RNA, 235 nt
Filed under: uncultured Candidatus Saccharibacteria bacterium
Lineage: Bacteria; Candidatus Saccharimonadota
Description: partial 16S ribosomal RNA
Rfam family: Bacterial small subunit ribosomal RNA
Source: RNAcentral
UAAGCAAGGUGUGAAAUCGUACGGCUCAACCGUAUACACAUGCUUUGAACUGGCAAGCUAGAGUGUAGAAGAGGUCACUGGAAUUUCUAGUGUAGGAGUGAAAUCCGUAGGUAUUAGAAGGAACACCGAUGGCGUAGGCAGGUGACUGGUCUAUUACUGACGCUAAGGCACGAAAGCGUGGGGAGCGAACGGGAUUAGAUACCCCGGUAGUCCACGCCCUAAACUAUGGAUGCUA